UAUCCUCCUGAAAGACAAAGUAGAGGACAUUCCACAAAAGAGGACAAAUCAGAUGUCAAUUCCCAGCCUGCCUUUCUCCGAGUGUUCCAAUGGAUUCUUCAACCUCAGCUCUCCCUCAAGAGUUCCAGUAAUCCAAAGAAAAACCUGAUAGCAUCCCACGUUCUGCUUCCAUGAAAAGGGCUGGGCUACUUGUGACCUCGGGCCAGACACGGAGACAAGCGAGCUCCUCCCUCGCAGCAGCUCCCGCCCUCACUCACUGGUAAGAAGCUCCACUCCUGAGUUUUGGGGUCAUACUUCUCCACCACGUCGAUGGGAGACUGCUGGCUUCCAAAGCCCCCAACCACCAGAAGCACUUCAUUGGCUCCUGCGGAGAAAGGUGGGUCACGUCACUGUCCCUGUCACCAGCGAGGGCACCGCCCCACCCUGUGCCGUCCACCCGUGGCAGCUCCUUCCUUCCUCACCCAGAAAGGGGGGGGGACGGGUGGCAGUGUACCCCGUGCUACAGGGCAUUCGAAGAAAUUCCCAGUUCACAGAUUCCAAAUACACUGGAACAAUACUUGACGACUUAUGAAAUGCUUCCGAACCCUUUGUCUCAUUCAAUCCUCCAAACAGUGAUGCGAAACGGGGCAGAAAGCUCGGGGCUAACUAAGGUGACUUGUCUAACGCAAU
This is a long non-coding RNA of Phyllostomus discolor (pale spear-nosed bat), 669 nucleotides long. RefSeq lists it as uncharacterized. NCBI's taxonomy places the organism in Eukaryota, Metazoa, Chordata, Mammalia, Chiroptera, Phyllostomidae. The transcript is spliced from 2 exons. The record is from RefSeq and is a predicted model, not a curated record.